CCUACGGGUGGCAGCAGUGAGGAAUAUUGGUCAAUGGACGGAAGCCUGAACCAGCCAUGCCGCGUGCAGGAAGACGGCUCUAUGAGUUGUAAACUGCUUUUGUACAAGGGUAAAACUCCAUACGUGUAUUCAGCUGAAAGUACUGUACGAAUAAGGAUCGGCUAACUCCGUGCCAGCAGCCGCGGUAAUACGGAGGAUCCAAGCGUUAUCCGGAUUUAUUGGGUUUAAAGGGUGCGUAGGCGGAUUGACAAGUUAGAGGUGAAAUGUCCGAGCUUAACUCGGGAACUGCCUCUAAUACUGGUGAUCUAGAGAGUAGGUGAGGUAGGCGGAAUGUAUGGUGUAGCGGUGAAAUGCUUAGAGAUCAUACAGAACACCGAUUGCGAAGGCAGCUUACCAAUCUAUAACUGACGUUGAGGCACGAAAGCGAGGGGAGCAAACAGGAUUAGAUACCCGGGUAGUC
Molecule: ribosomal RNA, 460 nt
Filed under: uncultured bacterium
Lineage: Bacteria
Description: partial 16S ribosomal RNA
Rfam family: Bacterial small subunit ribosomal RNA
Source: RNAcentral